Molecule: unclassified non-coding RNA, 337 nt
Filed under: soil metagenome
Description: partial contains 5.8S ribosomal RNA, internal transcribed spacer 2, and large subunit ribosomal RNA
Rfam family: 5.8S ribosomal RNA (bases 1-120)
Source: RNAcentral
GAUGAAGAACGUAGCGAAAUGCGAUAAGUAAUGUGAAUUGCAGAAUUCCGUGAAUCAUCGAAUCUUUGAACGCACAUUGCGCCCCCUGGCAUUCCGGGGGGCAUGCCUGUCCGAGCGUCAUUUCUGCCCUUAAGCACGGCUUGUGUGUUGGGUGUGGUCCCCCCGGGGACCUGCCCGAAAGGCAGCGGCGACGUCCGUCUGGUCCUCGAGCGUAUGGGGCUCUGUCACUCGCUCGGGAAGGACCUGCGGGGGUUGGUCACCACUAUAUUUUACCACGGUUGACCUCGGAUCAGGUAGGAGUUACCCGCUGAACUUAAGCAUAUCAAUAAGCGGAGGA